Cebus imitator (Panamanian white-faced capuchin) is the source of this 1437-nucleotide long non-coding RNA. RefSeq lists it as uncharacterized. The record is from RefSeq and is a predicted model, not a curated record. The transcript has 2 exons. NCBI's taxonomy places the organism in Eukaryota, Metazoa, Chordata, Mammalia, Primates, Cebidae.
AAGCAGCUCAACUGCCCGCCCUGUGGCUGUGCAUGCAUCCCUCCCAACCCUGCAGUUACAGACACAUCAAGAUAACCAAUCAUAUUAAAUUCCACAUAUAUAUGCUGAUCCAAGUCCAUAAGGUACCUACCUGAAGAGAGCUAUGAUGUUCAGAAGCAAUGCCAUUCUCCAGUCAAUAAGGAAGUUAGUACUAGGUGAACAACUGAUACAGAAUUCUACGUCACAUGAGCUUGCAUGUAAUUAUUUAUGUCGUUAUAUUUUGUAGCAGUCAUAGGCUCACAGAAAAUGAGAACUGAAAGAAAUGCUGGGACCCAUUUAGUCCACUUGCCCACAAAUACUUUCAGCUCUGAAAAUCUUCAUUUGAAAUUCUAUAUGGAGACCUCAUACAUACAACAGAGAGACUUGCAGCACUUUGAAGACCUUGGAGCCUAAGCUUAGCCCUCUGUGACAGGUCCUACGUGCCAAGAAUCUUUCAGAAACACUGCUCAAAAACCACUGUUCACUUUCAGUUCCUUCAUUUUCUAGAAAAAGCAGCUAAAGCAAGGGUAUAAGGCAAGUUAGCUGCAGAACUAGAACUUCUGAAUCAAUUUCAUCUUUUCUAACACACCACUACUUUUUGAGUAGGAACAAUGCUGUGUCUGUGUGCCGCACCUGGGCCACCACAGACAGACAGCAGUGCUUAGUACACGCUGUUUAAUAGAACAAUUGAUACAUAUCUGCUUUUCAACUUGAAAAGGCCAAAUCACCACCCAAGGUUCAAUAUAUGCAGAAAAAGGCCUGCAUGCUUUUUAUCAAAGGAGCUAGGGGUCACUUCAGUCACCAUACCUAACCUGCUUAGCUGGCACCAAGGACAUACCGCAAUACCAAUAAGAAGAUUAAAAUGUCAAACAGGAAAGCAGCUGGGGUAUGUAAUGGACUCAAAACCACAAAGAGGAAGAAUAUCUAUAUUGAAGAAAGUUCUUCCUGCCCAGGGCAAUUAAUGUGGUGAACAGAUGGGGAGAGAUGUGAACUAUUUUCAUGCUUUAAUGGGAUGAUAAAAGACACAAGGAAAUAAGCGGUAAAUCCACAGUGCAGGGGCAAACAUAAAGACCUGCUUUUUGUUUUCCAAGCAAUAUUUUUAAUUUCUAAGCAGUAAUAUCACUCAGAGUUUACCCUGUUAGUUCUUUCUCCAUCAUUAUAAAGGCACUGAGUACUGGAGAGCUGCAAUAAGACAUCCAGAGGUAAAUCACAGAGUCGUGCAGGGGUAGCAGUGGAAGCAAUUAAGAUGGAAAUGAGCUCCCGCAUUCUGGUAUACACCUUACCCCUGGCUGAGUUUGCAAAAAGGCAAGCUUCCCUUUAUUCAGAAGGUACCAUACAUGACAACAAUGAUGAUCAUGAGGUGGCAUUUGUAUCAGCUAUGAAGCAUCCGGUUUAAUGUUCAUACAGUUCAAUUGUGGA